ACAUUGUUAUGAGUGUGUUCGUGUGAGCGGGGACGACGGGUUGAGCUGCGUUCGAUUUCUAUUUAUAGUUCAGUUCAAUUUGUUGCUCCAGUUUUUUUUUGUUAAAAAUUAUGUUUGAUUCGCUUCUACAGAGUUUUUUUUUAUUUGGAUUUGUCCUUAUUACGAAAACGAUAGCCUGCUAGUUAAGUAUUACAACUUUUGUUCGGGUCAAGGAAAGAUGAAGCGAAAAGCGUUCGUGGAUUGCUCCAUAGUGAGUUCAGUUAAUAGAGUUCGACUGAUACCGGUUGCAUUGCCGACCGCUGGAUGCCGAUUCACCGUCUGCGAAGGAGUAGCCAAGAACACAUCGGCAAAGGAAAUUAUUUAACAAGGUGGAAUAACAACUGGCCAAAAAGUAUCAUCCGGACAAGAACAAGGUCGAUCCGAAUCCGAGCCGAAAGUUUCAGGAAGUUUCCGAAGCGUACAAGGUGCUGAGCUCCGAUGCCACUGAUGACACGAAACGAAACAAUCUGUGGCCGACGAUGUGCCAAGGAAGUAUUCCCUGCCAUUAUUGCAACCACAAAGGUUCGUCUGUAAAAGUAAAUUAUAACCCCCCAACCGGCCAUCUGAAAAAUCUAGCGGUGCCGUAUGGGCGAUGUCUUAAAAUCUACCUCUUUCACCUCCGCCUGGGCAAGAGUCUGGAUCUAUCGGAACCGCAAAGUGUUCGCUAAGAAUGCUUUCUUCUGUUGAUGCAUGGGUGAAGAAUGUAUGGCGAUAGGCGUAUUGUACGGCGCCUAAGGAUUUUAUCGCCCUGAAGGAUUAUUACGAAGCAGUCGUCAUUCAAUCCGAGUGAUUUGUGAUUCUCUACAGGAAUCACGUGCCUACAAGCAACGAACUUCUUCCAAAGAAGCGACCGGGUUGCAGCGCCUUCACGGAUGUUGCAAAAAACGAUCCUUCGUCGUGCCCGCAACGCCAACAUCAAUCAACGAGAUCUAUCGACACGCGCUCAUUUCGGAUUAGAACCGACCCAAGGUAACCCUAACAAAAGCAAAUUUAAUCAUAUCCGAAGCCAAACUGUUGGAAGCUAUCCAGGAAAAAAGUCGGAAACUUUACUUUCAAAAAAAGGGUUAAAAGGAAAAUUCGUUUCCAGGCCUGUACAUAGGGUUAGUACAUAUUAGUCGCUUACAAGUAAUUUAAGAAAUAUUCCUUUUGAUUAGAAUCUAAUAUCUGUGAAGAAAAGCAAUAAAUACCAAGAAUAACGCUUGAGUCUUGCGUCAAUGAUAA
This is a long non-coding RNA of Aedes albopictus (Asian tiger mosquito), 1260 nucleotides long. RefSeq lists it as uncharacterized. The transcript has 4 exons. Lineage: Eukaryota; Metazoa; Arthropoda; Insecta; Diptera; Culicidae. The record is from RefSeq and is a predicted model, not a curated record.